RNAcentral lists this transfer RNA (72 nucleotides) under Actinomycetota bacterium. RNAcentral describes it as "Actinobacteria bacterium (freshwater metagenome) tRNA-Val". The record is from RNAcentral. Lineage: Bacteria; Bacillati; Actinomycetota.
GGGCGUUUAGCUCAGUUGGCUAGAGCAUCUCCCUUACAAGGAGGGCAGGUCCCGUGCGACUCUGACCGGCCU